RNAcentral lists this ribosomal RNA (488 nucleotides) under uncultured bacterium. RNAcentral's name for it is "partial 16S ribosomal RNA". It matches the Rfam family "Bacterial small subunit ribosomal RNA", at positions 28 to 507 of the family's 1533-position model. The record is from RNAcentral.
GAUGAACGCUAGCGGCAGGCUUAACACAUGCAAGUCGAGGGGCAGCAUAAUGGAUAGCACUAUCUAUGGUUGCGACCGGCGCACGGGUGCGUAACGCGUAUGCAACCUACCUUUAACAGGGGGAUAACACUGAGAAAUUGGUACUAAUACCCCAUAAUAUCAUAGAAGGCAUCUUUUAUGGUUGAAAAUUCCGAUGGUUAGAUAUGGGCAUGCGUUGUAUUAGCUAGUUGGUGGGGUAACGGCUCACCAAGGCGACGAUACAUAGGGGGACUGAGAGGUUAACCCCCCACACUGGUACUGAGACACGGACCAGACUCCUACGGGAGGCAGCAGUAAGGAAUAUUGGUCAAUGGACGCAAGUCUGAACCAGCCAUGCCGCGUGCAGGAUGACGGCUCUAUGAGUUGUAAACUGCUUUUGUACGAGGGUAAACGCAGAUACGUGUAUCUGUCUGAAAGUAUCGUACGAAUAAGGAUCGGCUAACUCCGUG